AAUCGCUAGUAAUCGUGGAUCAGAAUGCCACGGUGAAUACGUUCCCGGGCCUUGUACACACCGCCCGUCACACCAUGGGAGUGGGUUGCAAAAGAAGUAGGUAGCUUAACCUUCGGGAGGGCGCUUACCACUUUGUGAUUCAUGACUGGGGUGAAGUCGUAACAAGGUAACCGUAGGGGAACCUGCGGUUGGAUCACCUCCUUA
This 204-nucleotide ribosomal RNA is filed under the name Escherichia coli. RNAcentral describes it as "partial 16S ribosomal RNA". It matches the Rfam family "Bacterial small subunit ribosomal RNA", at positions 1330 to 1533 of the family's 1533-position model. The record is from RNAcentral. Lineage: Bacteria; Pseudomonadati; Pseudomonadota; Gammaproteobacteria; Enterobacterales; Enterobacteriaceae. RNAcentral also lists the same sequence under 4 other names.